This 261-nucleotide ribosomal RNA is filed under the name uncultured bacterium. RNAcentral describes it as "partial 16S ribosomal RNA". It matches the Rfam family "Bacterial small subunit ribosomal RNA", at positions 514 to 773 of the family's 1533-position model. The record is from RNAcentral.
GCCGCGGUAAAACGUAGGACGCAAGCGUUAUCCGGAGUUACUGGGCGUAAAGGGCGGGCAGGCGGUCUGUGCAAGUGGGGUGUGAAAUCUCCCAGCUUAACUGGGCGAGGCUAUUCCAAACUGCACGACUGGAGGGCAGUAGAGGUGCGUGGAAUUCCGGGUGGAGUGGUGAAAUGCGUAGAGAUCCGGAGGAACACCAGAGGCGCAGGCGGCGCACUGGGCUGCACCUGACGCUCAACCGCGACAGCCAGGGGAGCGAAC